AACCCAGACUCCUACGGGAGGCAGCAGUGGGGGAUAUUGCACAAUGGGGGAAACCCUGAUGCAGCGACGCCGCGUGUGGGAAGACGGUCUUCUGGAUUGUAAACCACUGUCCCCAGGGACGAAAAUGACGGUACCUGGGGAGGAAGCUCCGGCUAACUACGUGCCAGCAGCCGCGGUAAUACGUAGGGAGCAAGCGUUGUCCGGAAUUACUGGGUGUAAAGGGAGCGUAGGCGGGGAUGCAAGUUGGGUGUCAAAACUACCGGCUCAACCGAUAGUCGCACUCAAAACUGCAACUCUUGAGUGAAGUAGAGGUUGGCGGAAUUCCGAGUGUAGCGGUGAAAUGCGUAGAUAUUCGGAGGAACACCGGUGGCGAAGGCGGCCAACUGGGCUUUAACUGACGCUGAGGCUCGAAAGUGUGGGGAGCAAACAGGAUUAGAUACCCCAGUACA
RNAcentral lists this ribosomal RNA (449 nucleotides) under uncultured bacterium. RNAcentral describes it as "bacterial SSU rRNA". It matches the Rfam family "Bacterial small subunit ribosomal RNA", at positions 328 to 797 of the family's 1533-position model. The record is from RNAcentral.